GCCAUUUCUGAUGGUGUCUAAGGCAAGCUUUGGCAGACCCUCCCAUCGAUCGAACUUACCUGGCCUCUUGGUGAAAUUAUGUUUUGAUCGGAUCACUUGACUAUUCGAGCUGACCCAUGUCAGCUAGGUAAAUCAGUGUGACUGAUUUAGGUGCUCCUAGACCAGCCCUUUUAAUGGUCUCCCUUAAGCUGACUUGGUGAAGCUAGUGGGAGGAUCAUGAUAAGCUGGUUCAUCUGACCUCCUCCUCUAAAUCAAUUAAAUCUUCUAAAAUUAUUAG
This 277-nucleotide long non-coding RNA is filed under the name Elaeis guineensis (African oil palm). RNAcentral's name for it is "long non-coding RNA (EGUI_LNC050962)". The record is from RNAcentral. Lineage: Eukaryota; Viridiplantae; Streptophyta; Magnoliopsida; Arecales; Arecaceae.